Molecule: ribosomal RNA, 497 nt
Filed under: uncultured bacterium
Lineage: Bacteria
Description: partial 16S ribosomal RNA
Rfam family: Bacterial small subunit ribosomal RNA
Source: RNAcentral
GAUGAACGCUGGCGGCGUGCCUAAUACAUGCAAGUCGAGCGAACGGACGAGAAGCUUGCUUCUCUGAUGUUAGCGGCGGACGGGUGAGUAACACGUGGAUAACCUACCUAUAAGACUGGGAUAACUUCGGGAAACCGGAGCUAAUACCGGAUAAUAUUUUGAACCGCAUGGUUCAAAAGUGAAAGACGGUGUUGCUGUCACUUAUAGAUGGAUCCGCGCUGCAUUAGCUAGUUGGUAAGGUAACGGCUUACCAAGGCAACGAUGCAUAGCCGACCUGAGAGGGUGAUCGGCCACACUGGAACUGAGACACGGUCCAGACUCCUACGGGACGCAGCAGUAGGGAAUCUUCCGCAAUGGGCGAAAGCCUGACGGAGCAACGCCGCGUGAGUGAUGAAGGUCUUCGGAUCGUAAAACUCUGUUAUUAGGGAAGAACAUAUGUGUAAGUAACUGUGCACAUCUUGACGGUACCUAAUCAGAAAGCCACGGCUAACUACGUG